GGGUUCAUAUCUCAAUGGUAGAGCAUUUGACUGCAGAUCAAGCGGUCAACAUUUCGAAACUGGUUGGGCCCU
This 72-nucleotide transfer RNA is filed under the name Setaria italica (foxtail millet). It matches the Rfam family "tRNA". From Rfam's summary of the family: Transfer RNA (tRNA) molecules are approximately 80 nucleotides in length. Their secondary structure includes four short double-helical elements and three loops (D, anti-codon, and T loops). The record is from Rfam by way of RNAcentral. Lineage: Eukaryota; Viridiplantae; Streptophyta; Magnoliopsida; Poales; Poaceae.